CUGUAUUGAUCACAGCUGCGUUAAUAACAGAGGAAGUCAUUCAGAAAAACAAGUGGCCAACAGGGGAAAGUUGUGGUUCCCUAAACAGAAGACUUCAUUCUGGAAAAACAGCCUUUACUCCAAGGAAUGCAGUCAUCUUACCUCAUUGGAGUUGUUAUAGAAAAACUCAUCCUCAUCACCAGAAUUCUCUCAAGGGGACCUGACUCCUGUCUUAUCACUCAUGUAAAAUCAAGAUCUUUUCUACUGAAGCUGACCUACAUGACAGAAGUCAAUGCCUAAGGGUAUAAAAUGAAAGAGCAUGAAGUUGAAAAUGAAGAUGUCUAAUUGUGGAGAUGUGCAGUAGAGAAUAUUGUGCCAAGUAAAAGCUGAGAGUUAUAUUAAGAAGUCUGCUGGUCUUGAGACGAACUCUGACAGCUUACAAAAAUAGUGUGAUAUUUCCUUGAAACGAUUAUGGUGUGAGAAUAUUUGUUUUAACA
This is a long non-coding RNA of Cygnus olor (mute swan), 476 nucleotides long. RefSeq lists it as uncharacterized. Lineage: Eukaryota; Metazoa; Chordata; Aves; Anseriformes; Anatidae. The record is from RefSeq and is a predicted model, not a curated record. The transcript is spliced from 3 exons.